Molecule: long non-coding RNA, 4187 nt
Filed under: Homo sapiens (human)
Lineage: Eukaryota; Metazoa; Chordata; Mammalia; Primates; Hominidae
Description: HSALNT0228552
Source: RNAcentral
GCUGGGUCAAAUGGUAUUUCUAGUUCUAGAUCCUUGAGGAAUCACCACACUGUCUUCCACAAUGGUUGAACUAGCUUUUAUGCAUUGCAAAGUGACUACACAAAGUGACCUAUCCCUUGUCUCCUUUAUCUCUCUAGCAACCCUCCAGUUAUUAGGGCAGCUACUACUCUCAUCUUCCAUAUAAGAAGUGGGAACACUUUCAUGGAUGUUCUGGGACUCACAGUCCAAGUCCUGGUUCUUAGAGAGUUGGAUCCAGAUCCUGUGUCUUGUAGGUAUAUAGGUAUAUGUUUAUGCAUUGAAAUGAAAUAUGUACAACUAGGUCCUUCCCCGUCUCCCCUAUAAAGCCUAUAAAGUCUUCUAUGAAACAAAGUUAAUUCCAUUCUCAGACAGAGGCUCCCAGAAUCCAGUGUUUUGGUUGGUCUCCGCUACAAAUGCUUUUUCUGAUAUUUGUGUGUUUGCAAGUCCCUCUCUGAGACUUUCUAAAAUUUGAUUGUUAAUUGGCUGUUAUAUGCAUGAAGUUCUGGACUUGGUGUCCCAAGCUCUUUAUAGAUUUACUUUUUUUCUCCCCCUCCUGCCAUUAAAUAAUCACCCUUGAGCUUCUCUCAACUUACUCUCCAUCAAUAACCAUUGUAUUCGUUCCAUUACAGCCCUCCUAAAUACAAAACAAUGACGACAACAACAAACCAUUCAAACUUCCAACCAACUUCCCCUGAAGGCACAGAAGGUGAGACCUAAGGGAAAAGAAAUCCACCCUCUUUAACAUCAGCUAACAGCAUAGGAGUAAAUGCCUGGUACAGAGCCCAGAAUUCCUAUUUCACAUUCUGAUUUGGCACUUUCACCAUAAUGGGAAAAUCUCCUCUACUUUUCCUGUGAAGCUGUUUCUUCUCCUUCUGGAAGAUAACAGCAGGAUGAUAGAGGAGGUCAAAGGAUAAAGAGAAAGGAUGCAGCCUAUUUCUUCAUUUAUUUGACCAAUAAUGUUUGAAAAUGAUGAAGUCCUUGUCCUCAAGAAACUAACAGCCUGGGGUGAAGGGUGCAGGUGGGACAGAUGUAAAAACAAUUUCAGAUGCAGACGCUACAUGUGAUUAUCAAAGUCUGUAGAGUGGCUCAUGCCUGUAAUCCCAGCACUUUAGGAGGCUAAGGCAGGCAGAUCACCUGAGGUCAGGAGUUCGAGACCAGCCUGGCCAACAUGGUAAAACCCCAUCUUUACUAAAAAUACAAAAAAAUAGCCAGGCGUGGUGGCAGUCACCUGUAAUCCCAGCUACUCGGGAGGCUGAGGCAGGAGAAUCACUUGAACCGGAGAGGCAGAGGUUGUGGUGAGCUGAGAUCGCGCCACUGCACUCCAGCCUGGGCAACAAGAGUGAGACUUCAUCUCAAAAAAAAAAAAAAAAAAAAAAAAGUCUGUAAAGAAGAGGUCAUAAAGUAGGGUAGUAGUUUUUUAAAAUAUAUAUCUUCCUUUUCUCUACUUAUCAUGCUCAUGCUUUUCUCUACUUUCUUGAAAAAAAUGGAAUGUAUUUUUUAAACUGUGUUGACUUUCUGGUCUGCUGAUUAUAUUAUUUGUCGUUUGUGGGUCUAUUUUCUAUUGAUUGAUUUGCCUACUCUACACUGGACAGGGGGAUCCAGGAAGCCUUCAUAGGAGAAAUAACCCCAAUAAGGGGAAGUGUCCUCCAGGCAGCAAAACAGCACACGAGAGUAGGGUAGAGUGCAAUAGAACAGCUCAGGGAGCCUGAGAAAUUCCGUGGCACUGGAAGCUGGGUUAUGAAGGGGAUAUGUUUAAGGGCUAAGUCUGGAGAGGCAGGCAAUGGCUCAGAUGGUGAAGAAUGUGAUCUGUCAGGUAAGCAGGCAGAACUCAUCCUAUAGAAGGUAAAGAGCCUCUGGAGCGAUCUAAAGGAGAAAGUGUCUUUUGUUUUAAAUGCUCACUAGCUGCAGAGUAGAGAAUGGAUUGAGAGAGGUGAGCCUGAAGAAAGGCUUCUUCAAACCUGAGAGGCCAGUCUUCCUGGGUAUGGAAGACUAGUCUUCAGGUUGCUUCUGGCUAUCCCCAACAUCCUUACUCUCCAGAACUUUCAGAUGCUGGGUCCAGGGCCCAUUUCACUGAGCCCUCUGCAGCUGGAAUUUAUCUUGCCCCAGAGCCCAGCUGAACAGCACUGGGGGUGGGAGAUGUAAGCUGAUGGGAGAGAAACAUGGCAGGAAUCCUGGUUCUAGGAGAGUUGGAUCCAGAUCCUGUGUCUCGUAGGGAUGUAUGUGUGUGUUUAUGUGUAUAUGUAUGCGUGCAUGUGCAGACAUAUGUGUGUGCACGUAUGACACAUUGGAGUGUCUCUGUGGGUUUUUUUUCUGUAUUAAGUUAUAUGUGAAGUUCCAUUGGUGUGUCUGCACUAAAUCAUGAUGCAUAAGUCAGCGCACACAUCUCAACAUCUAUACGCCCAUGACUAUUAAUGCCUGUGUAUGUGUGAGGGCCUUUGCUGGAAAAUGCAUGUGUCUGUCCACAUACCUGUUUGCAAGUGGGUGCAUAUAUGUUAUACACAUAUACGUUUGUGUGUAUAUGGGUGCCGCACUGUGUGUGUGUGUGUUUAUGUGUGUGUGUGUGUUAAGUGUUAUAUAUAAAUGGAGGCAGGAUACAGAGUCUAGUUUAGAGCAUUUGCUUCAACGUCUGGCUACCUGGGUUCAAGCCCUGAAAUCAGCAUUUAAAAGCUAUAGGCCUUUGAGUAAUUAUCUUUUUAAAGCACCGGUUUACUCGUCACUAAAUUGAAGGUAAUAAUAGUGGCUACCUUCAAUGUCUAAUGUGAGGGUGGAAUGAUAUAAUGCCCAAAAUGCACUUAAAAUAAUGCCUUAUACGUAGGGGGUGUUAAAAAAUAUUGGUUGUUACAAAGUAAUUCAUGACAAUAAAUAUGUAAGUGGCUGACUUGAGGGUCUCUGAGGCUUUCUGCAUGUGCAUCUGUGCCUUUGGGCACGUGAGGUUGAUAUGUGUGUCUGUUAGAAUGUGUGUGUUGGUGUGGAUAGACGCCUCUGGGUAUACAGGCCUGUGUGGGGGGCUAAGUGGGCAUGUGUGUUUGUGGUUUGCCUGUGAGUGCCUCUAUGUGAGUUUGUGUUCUGCCAGGAUUGGGAACAUUCCUAGGGAAGGGAUUGUGUCUAAUUAAUUAUUGUACCCAGGCCCUUGGACCCGGGACAUAAAAACUGCUAAGCAAAUUUGUGUUGACUGAAUGAAUGAAUGAAGUGGACUGGACAUUCAGAGAUUGUUAUUCAGACAACAUGCCCAUUUGUAGAAAACAAAAAGGUGUAAAUAGCUAGCUAGCUAGAUGAUAAUUGAGUAGGGAGGUAUGUAGACGAUAGGUAGAUAGGAGGUAGAUGAUGAUAGAUAGAUAGAUACAUACAUACAUAGAUAGAUACAUAGAUAGAUACAUGGAUAGAUAGAUGACAGGUAGCUAGACAGAUAGACAGCUGAGAUUGGCUCUAAGUGGAAUCCUAUGUACUUUCUCCUGGAAGUUAUAUUAGAGUUCAUAUGUCUCAGGGUGCUCCAAAACAUCGGCUCUGGCAGCUCUGUGAGUUAUUAUGGAGUUGCUUUGAGGGCCUUCAGAGGAAGGAAUCACAGAAUGGGAGAGCUAAGCUCCCCACCUGACAUCAACAAGAAUCUAUUUGCUUUUAAUCUCUGGUUGUCCAAGUCGAAUUGUAAAGUUUCACUACUAUAAAUUUUUGAAAAUCUUGUUACAGACCAACCCCUUUUAUUCUACAGAAGGGAGCAGCUGAGCCUCAGAGAGGGGAGAAGGUUAGAACCUGACCUCUCUUUCAGGCCUGUUUCUACCAUGCCACCUGCCUUGGGAUGUAGUAAGUAUGACUCCGCUAACUCACUGGGAAACAGAAUGCAAUUCUUCUCAGGAACCCGUCUUUUAGAGAAGCCACUAUCAUAGUGGCCCUUGGGAUGUCUGUCCAAGAAAUGACCCCAUUUGUGUCAGACCUGCCCCAUUAGGUCAGCCCCUUUGGCUAUGUGCUAGAUGGUCCCAGUCCCCUGGCCCAGACUACUGGACCCUGACCCAAGCAGCAAAAUCAAAUUCCCUGAUGCAAUUUGGAGGUGGGAUAGCAACAUGCUAACCAGUCUCUGUUGGUCCCUGAAUUAGGAAGUGAUGUGAAGCUAGAAUGUCCAUAUUUAAUCAAGGGAUGAGUGAACAGGAAAAGCUGGCUUCAGAGACAUAAAAAGA